RNAcentral lists this ribosomal RNA (662 nucleotides) under Salmonella enterica. RNAcentral's name for it is "partial 23S ribosomal RNA". It matches the Rfam family "Bacterial large subunit ribosomal RNA", at positions 2164 to 2824 of the family's 2925-position model. The record is from RNAcentral. RNAcentral also lists the same sequence under 1 other name. Lineage: Bacteria; Pseudomonadati; Pseudomonadota; Gammaproteobacteria; Enterobacterales; Enterobacteriaceae.
GUGGACGCCAGUCUGCAUGGAGCCGACCUUGAAAUACCACCCUUUAAUGUUUGAUGUUCUAACGUGGACCCGUAAUCCGGGUUGCGGACAGUGUCUGGUGGGUAGUUUGACUGGGGCGGUCUCCUCCUAAAGAGUAACGGAGGAGCACGAAGGUUGGCUAAUCCUGGUCGGACAUCAGGAGGUUAGUGCAAUGGCAUAAGCCAGCUUGACUGCGAGCGUGACGGCGCGAGCAGGUGCGAAAGCAGGUCAUAGUGAUCCGGUGGUUCUGAAUGGAAGGGCCAUCGCUCAACGGAUAAAAGGUACUCCGGGGAUAACAGGCUGAUACCGCCCAAGAGUUCAUAUCGACGGCGGUGUUUGGCACCUCGAUGUCGGCUCAUCACAUCCUGGGGCUGAAGUAGGUCCCAAGGGUAUGGCUGUUCGCCAUUUAAAGUGGUACGCGAGCUGGGUUUAGAACGUCGUGAGACAGUUCGGUCCCUAUCUGCCGUGGGCGCUGGAGAACUGAGGGGGGCUGCUCCUAGUACGAGAGGACCGGAGUGGACGCAUCACUGGUGUUCGGGUUGUCAUGCCAAUGGCACUGCCCGGUAGCUAAAUGCGGAAGAGAUAAGUGCUGAAAGCAUCUAAGCACGAAACUUGCCCCGAGAUGAGUUCUCCCUGAGACUUAG